RNAcentral lists this ribosomal RNA (913 nucleotides) under uncultured bacterium. RNAcentral's name for it is "bacterial SSU rRNA". It matches the Rfam family "Bacterial small subunit ribosomal RNA", at positions 28 to 916 of the family's 1533-position model. The record is from RNAcentral.
AACGAACGUUGGCGGCGUGCUUAACACAUGCAAGUCGAACGAGAACGGUUCCUUCGGGAGCUCAGUAAAGUGGCGCACGGGUGAGUAACCGCGUAGAUAACCUGUCCAGGUGUAUGGGAUAGCCCUUCGAAAGGGGGAUUAAUACCGUAUACGUUGGUUUGUCUUAAGACAGAUCAAGAAAGGUGGCCUCUAUUUAUAAGCUAUCGCAUUUGGAGGGGUCUGCGUACCAUUAGUUUGUUGGUGGGGUAAUGGCCUACCAAGACUUCGAUGGUUAGCGGGUCUGAGAGGAUGAUCCGUCACACUGGCACUGAAACACGGGCCAGACUCCUACGGGAGGCAGCAGUGAGGAAUAUUGCGCAAUGGGGGAACCCUGACGCAGCGACGCCGCGUGGGUGAGGAAGGCUUUCGGGUCGUAAAGCCCUGUCAGAAGGGAAGAAAUGCUAUGUGGUUAAUACCCAUAUAGUUUGACGGUACCUUCAAAGGAAGCACCGGCUAACUCCGUGCCAGCAGCCGCGGUAAUACGGAGGGUGCAAACGUUGUUCGGAAUCACUGGGCGUAAAGGGCGCGCAGGCGGUUUGAUUAGUCAGAUGUGAAAGCCCACGGCUUAACCGUGGAAGUGCAUUUGAAACUGUCAGACUUGAGUACCAGAGGGGGUAGUGGAAUUCCCGGUGUAGAGGUGAAAUUCGUAGAUAUCGGGAGGAAUACCGGUGGCGAAGGCGACUACCUGGCUGGAUACUGACGCUGAGGCGCGAAAGCGUGGGGAGCAAACAGGAUUAGAUACCCUGGUAGUCCACGCCGUAAACGAUGUGAACUAGGUGUAGGGGGUGUUGAUCCCCUCUGUGCCGCAGCUAACGCAUUAAGUUCACCGCCUGGGGAGUACGGUCGCAAGAUUAAAACUCAAAGGAAUUGACGG